GCCACCGUAGCACAAUGGUUAGUGUGUCGCUUUCCUACUUGGGGUUACUGUAGGACCUUGGAGCAAGGCGGAGGUUGCGGGUUCGAGUCCCGUCGGUGGUU
This is a non-coding RNA of Lyophyllum atratum, 101 nucleotides long. Lineage: Eukaryota; Fungi; Basidiomycota; Agaricomycetes; Agaricales; Lyophyllaceae. The record is from the annotation of a GenBank genome assembly.